Long non-coding RNA from Formica exsecta, 1012 nucleotides. RefSeq lists it as uncharacterized. Lineage: Eukaryota; Metazoa; Arthropoda; Insecta; Hymenoptera; Formicidae. The record is from RefSeq and is a predicted model, not a curated record. The transcript has 4 exons.
UUAUAAUUAUACUGCUGCUUCAAGAGCUUUAUACGUCAAAUCCUGUUGCAAAUUGCGCAAAAAGCGCGAUAACAAUCGAAAUUGCGUUACUUCCUGUCGACGAUGGGCUUGUUGUUUUUUUUUUCCGCAUUUGGACACGUAAACGCGUCACAGAUUAUGGGAUUUAUAUAAGAGCAAAGAAAGCUUCUGCGGACCAGUGUACUAGUGCAUCAAGUUAAGCAGGAUGAUUAAGCUAUUCCUCAUUACUUUACUUUGCGCGACGCUGGUGUUCGCUGAUUUGCCGGUCCAGGGCCUCCAAGAUGCAGCGGAGGGACCGGUGAACGGAUUUCUCGGUAUGGCUGAUCACUUGGGUCGUGGUAGUAGUUUGGUGCGACGAUCGGCACAGGGAGGUGGAGGUCAAGGAGGAAUAGGAGGAGGAUUUGGAGGACGCGUGGGAGGAGGAGCAGGAGGAGGAGCAGGAGCAGGAGGAAAAUGAUAGAAUCAGAUCAUAAGGAUCAUAAAUAAAUAGUUUAUGCUCUUUAGGUCCAAUAUGGAGAUAUUGAAGCCUGUUGUAAAAUAGAGAAAAGUGAUUUAGAUUUCACUCAACACUUUGACACGUCUUAUUAGAGUACUUUGCACGCUUGAGAACCUCGAUGAUUUUAGAUUUACAAUAAUAAAACUUCGCACCGCAUGAUAUUUAUUAUAAUAUUUAUUUUAUUCGAUCCCAUCCGUACUUGUUCUUAACAAAACGGAAAUAAUCCGUGAAAACUUUUUAAUUUUGAUAUACAUGUAUAACGUACUAUUUCGUUAUUAAAUUUCUCUUACUUUUUCUAUCUAAUGAAAAUAAAUUUUAAAUAUUAGACUAAAGAGUAGAUGUAUAUUUAAUGUUUCUAACAUAUUUUAAUGUUCGGAUUAUAUCGUAUAUUUUACUGUCAAGUAGGCUAUCAAACAUCGCGAGAGAACUGUAUAUGUAUGUACAUAUUUACGUAAAUAUAUUUGAAAUAAAUUGUCGUUCUCGAAGAGCCAUGGAUGA